RNAcentral lists this long non-coding RNA (1418 nucleotides) under Monodelphis domestica (gray short-tailed opossum). RNAcentral describes it as "lncRNA (ENSMODG00000038007.1)". Lineage: Eukaryota; Metazoa; Chordata; Mammalia; Didelphimorphia; Didelphidae. The record is from RNAcentral.
CUAGCUCUCAGCUCCGCCGCCCUCUGGGGAAUGCGAGGGUGGGGUGGCGCGCUGUCCGUGGUACUGAAGCCCGGCCGCUGUCCGUGGUGUCAGAACCGGCCUGGAACUGGAGUUGGAGCUGGAGAUGGAGAUGGAGAUGGAGAUGGAGAAGAUGGAGAUGGAGCAGGAGUCUCUGGCUGCUGCUGCAGCUGUCUCCUCGUUUACUGCUCACUGUAACUGAUGCUUCUGCAGCUCCUACAGAUCCGGGGGCGCAGGGGGCGGGGCUGGGGGGGAAGGUUCGGGGGAGGGGCCGGAACCUAGUUUAUCUCAGACUGGCGUUUCCCUGGGGACAUUCUGGCCCCCAUCAGUGGAGCUUUCCCCGGUUUGGUUACCCAGGGGAUAGGAUAGGGUGAAUUAACAUCUUUUCCUCCACUACAGACCAACAGCCACUCCAGAUAAGGGAAGGGUCUCUACCCUUGAGAUGGAGCCCCCGACACUGUUAGUCCCGGGACUCCAGGACUCCUGUCUAGGAAAGUGGGUCUCUGUUGGGCCCUGGUGGGAAUCUGCUUCUCCUCCUUCUCUGGUGCGGGAUCAGGAAAGGUGAAAGAGGAGUUCCCUUAUGAUGCAGUUUAAGAGCAGAAUUCUCCUCCCUACCUCUGGUGCAGCCUGCCCAACCUUGUGAGGGAGUCUACUGGGAAUGGGGGAGGAGAAUAGGAAGAUAAUGCUAACGAAUCCAAGUAGGUCAGACGUUGCUUUUUAAAAAGUGAUGAUAGUGGGUAAAUUAGGGAAAUGAGCAAGGAAGGGAGGGGGAGAGAAAUGGAGGGAGGGAAGGUUUGGAAACCCUCACGCAAACCAAAUAAUCCUGCUGUUUGGGGCUCCUUGACUGAAGGAGAAAGUAGUUCAUCCUCCACUUAAUGGAGAGGGAGAUAGUGCUUUUUACAAUUAUGGAAGGCUUGUGGGUCCCCACUGAAAUGUGAGUGGUUUUCCGAAUGAUAUCAGUAUCUCAACACCUGUCUUCUACUCCCCCAUUUUGGUUUCUAAUAGGAAGGGGAAAUGGGGCUUGUUCCCCUGGGCUUCAACUAUUACCUGCUUCUCCAUCUCACUGCUUCAGAACCAAGCCUUUAUCCUGUCUCUUGCCUGGCUCUGAAGAAGAAAAGCAGGCCAGAUCAGGAAGAUGGAAUCAAAAGGUAAAGAUUGGACUGCAGAAACACAUAAUUAGAAGACUUCUCUCUCCUUUCUCUGACUGGAAGAGAAUGAACUAGACUGUUGGAAAUUCAUUACUCAAUGGUUUUAUGACCGGCAUAAAAAUAGUAGGUGAUGAAGAAAAGAAUCAGGUUUUAAAGCAGAGUGGGAAAAGGCCAUAAUCCAUGUGCCAGAAUUCUGUAUGUAUUCUUCAGGGCUACAAUAAAAGGCUAUGGUUUCAGGGAGGGAGUAGAGGA